CAGGGAAUCUUGCGCAAUGGGCGAAAGCCUGACGCAGCGACGCCGCGUGGGGGAAGAAGGCCUUAGGGUUGUAAACCCCUUUUCUGGGGGAAGAGAAAGGGCGGUACCCCAGGAAUAAGCCUCGGCUAACUACGUGCCAGCAGCCGCGGUAAUACGUGGGAGGCAAGCGUUGUCCGGAUUUACUGGGCGUAAAGGGCGUGUAGGCGGCCCGGAAAGUCCUUGGUGAAAUCUCCCGGCUUAACUGGGAGGGGUCCAGGGAUACUUUCGGGCUAGAGGGCAGUAGAGGAGAGUGGAAUUCCCGGUGUAGUGGUGAAAUGCGUAGAUAUCGGGAGGAACACCAGUGGCGAAGGCGGCAUCCUGGACCGGUAUUGACGCUGAGGAGCGAAAGCUAGGGUAGCAAACCGG
This 405-nucleotide ribosomal RNA is filed under the name uncultured bacterium. Its description in RNAcentral is "bacterial SSU rRNA". It matches the Rfam family "Bacterial small subunit ribosomal RNA", at positions 355 to 776 of the family's 1533-position model. The record is from RNAcentral.